ACGAAGGGGGCUAGCGUUGCUCGGAAUUACUGGGCGUAAAGGGAGCGUAGGCGGCCUUUUAAGUCAGGGGUGAAAUCCCGGGGCUCAACCUCGGAAUUGCCUUCGAUACUGGUUGGCUUGAGUAUGAGAGAGGUGGGUGGAACUCCGAGUGUAGAGGUGAAAUUCGUAGAUAUUCGGAAGAACACCGGUGGCGAAGGCGGCACACUGGAUCAUUACUGACGCUGAGGCGCGAAAGCGUGGGGAGCAAACAG
This 251-nucleotide ribosomal RNA is filed under the name uncultured prokaryote. RNAcentral's name for it is "partial 16S rRNA". It matches the Rfam family "Bacterial small subunit ribosomal RNA", at positions 525 to 775 of the family's 1533-position model. The record is from RNAcentral.